This is a long non-coding RNA of Balaenoptera acutorostrata (minke whale), 1017 nucleotides long. RefSeq lists it as uncharacterized. The record is from RefSeq and is a predicted model, not a curated record. The transcript has 5 exons. Lineage: Eukaryota; Metazoa; Chordata; Mammalia; Artiodactyla; Balaenopteridae.
GGAAGGUGUUGCUUAAGGCCGGGCUCGAGGAGGCGAGACGGGGCCAGCGCCUGAACCUCAUGGCCUUUCUCCCCUGUGAAAUGAAUCCAGCCAACAGCCAAUGUUUGCCGAUUUCCUGCCGCGCAGGUCUCCCGCUCUGACCACAGAGGGGUGCCGUCUGCCAUCACUGCCAGCCUCUCCAGAUCUCUGGCCUCUUGCAGUUACCCUGGUGUUGAGGAGGGCCGGUCACUGCCUCGCCCAGCCUGCUGCUGAACCCGCUGAUGCCCAGGCCACCCGCCUGCAUCUUGAUUGCCGACUUGAGCUCGUGAUUCUCCCGAAUGAGCCACACCAGCUUCUUCAGUUCCUCGUUUUCCCGCACCAGCCUCUCGAUCUGAUGCCGAAGCCCCUCAUAAUUGUUUUGUUUAUGAGAAAUGGGUGAAAACAGAAAGCAAAAACCGCACCCAGAUGAAUGGACCACAACAACAUAGGACCGUGCAAAGCGCACACACCUCGGACACCUGCCAGCACCGCAGCUCGCUGCACCUCCCUGUGCUGAGCCACGCCUCGCCACAUCCGUGUCCCAACCUCCCAUCCGCUUUCAGGCGACUCGCUUCACAGUAACCCACAAGCCACGGCCCUUCCCCCGCCACUUCUAUAAACUGGCUUCAGGUCUUCUUCAAGGUCUCACUUAUACCAAAGGGAAAGAAUCUUCAUUAAAGUCCGUAUUUCUUCAAAAAAAAAAAGAAAAGUCUGCUUGGCCUUGGUUGUCAUCUGGACAUUUGACUUCGGGAGAGUUCCCAUAAUUCUCAGAACUGAUAAACUGAUAAGAAUGGCUCACUGUGCCUAAACUGUUGGUUCAAACAACGUGGCUUAUGCUGAGCUUCCGAGUUCCUUCUGAGAGUCUGGAAUUUUGGUACCUGCUAGGCAGAGGGUGCCUGUAUGAUCAGCCCCCUAUGAGAACCUUGGGUGCUGAGUCUCUAAUAAUCUUCCUUGACAGACAACAUUGCACGUGUGUGGCCCCAACUCAUUGCUCAAGGA